This 465-nucleotide ribosomal RNA is filed under the name uncultured bacterium. Its description in RNAcentral is "partial 16S ribosomal RNA". It matches the Rfam family "Bacterial small subunit ribosomal RNA", at positions 338 to 795 of the family's 1533-position model. The record is from RNAcentral.
CCUACGGGGUGCUGCAGUAGGGAAUCUUCCACAAUGUGCGAAAGCCUGAUGGAGCAACGCCGCGUGGGUGAAGAAGGUCUUCGGAUCGUAAAACCCUGUUGUUAGAGAAGAAAGUGCGUGAGAGUAACUGUUCACGUUUCGACGGUAUCUUACCAGAAAGCCACGGCUAACUACGUGCCGGCAGCCGCGGUAAUACGUAGGUGGCAAGCUUUAUCCGGAUUUAUUUGGCGUAAAGGGAACGCAGGCGGUCUUUUAAGUCUGAUGUGAAAGCAUUCGGCUUAACCGGAGUAGUGCAUUGGAGACUGGGAGACUUGAGUGCAGAAGAGGAGAGUGGAACUCCAUGUGUAGCGGUGAAAUGCGUAGAUAUAUGGAAGAACACCAGUGGCGAAAGCGGCUCUCUGGUCUGUAACUGACGCUGAGGUUCGAAAGCGUGGGUAGCAAACAGGAUUAGAUACCCUGGUAGUC